GAUGAACGCUGGCGGCGUGCCUAAUACAUGCAAGUCGAGCGAACAGACGAGGUGCUUGCUCCUUUGACGUUAGCGGCGGACGGGUGGGUAACACGUAGGUAACCUACCUAUAAGACUGGGAUAACUUCGGGAAACCGGAGCUAAUACCGGAUAAUAUUUCGAACCGCAUGGUUCGAUAGUGAAAGAUGGCUUUGCUAUCACUUAUAGAUGGACCUGCGCCGUAUUAGCUAGUUGGUAAGGUAACGGCUUACCAAGGCAACGAUACGUAGCCGACCUGAGAGGGUGAUCGGCCACACUGGAACUGAGACACGGUCCAGACUCCUACGGGAGGCAGCAGUAGGGAAUCUUCCGCAAUGGGCGAAAGCCUGACGGAGCAACGCCGCGUGAGUGAUGAAGGUCUUCGGAUCGUAAAACUCUGUUAUUAGGGAAGAACAAACGUGUAAGUAACUGUGCACGUCUUGACGGUACCUAAUCAGAAAGCCACGGCUAACUACGUG
Molecule: ribosomal RNA, 497 nt
Filed under: uncultured bacterium
Lineage: Bacteria
Description: partial 16S ribosomal RNA
Rfam family: Bacterial small subunit ribosomal RNA
Source: RNAcentral